CAGUACGCGGGAAUACAGAGGGUGCGAGCGUUAAUCGGAUUUACUGGGCGUAAAGCGUGCGUAGGCGGCUUCUUAAGUCGGAUGUGAAAUCCCUGAGCUUAACUUAGGAAUUGCAUUCGAUACUGGGAAGCUAGAGUAUGGGAGAGGAUGGUAGAAUUCCAGGUGUAGCGGUGAAAUGCGUAGAGAUCUGGAGGAAUACCGAUGGCGAAGGCAGCCAUCUGGCCUAAUACUGACGCUGAGGUACGAAAGCAUGGGGAGCAAACAGGAUUAGAUACCCCGGUAGUCCCUGUCUCUUAUACAC
RNAcentral lists this ribosomal RNA (301 nucleotides) under uncultured bacterium. Its description in RNAcentral is "partial 16S ribosomal RNA". It matches the Rfam family "Bacterial small subunit ribosomal RNA", at positions 512 to 809 of the family's 1533-position model. The record is from RNAcentral.